GUCAGACUUCGGGACGUGCGGACUGGCGACUGCUUCUCCUCAGCCGCGGGCGUCCGCCCGGCCGGGCGCGAGCGCAGUUGAGCAACCUGACUGAGAUGCCCUCUGCAGUUCCGUGGCUCUCCUCAUGUUGAGCAGGGCUCUCUAUGCUUCAGAGGCUCUGGGUCUCCUGGGACAUGAUCCUACCAUUUCCUGAAGUCUGGGCACCUUACCCCUUUCUGCAGUGUGCAUACAAUUCCCAAGCCUCAGUGCAGGGCAGCACUGUGACCCAGAGCCUAGGCAGGAGCCUGACAGAAAGAAGCCUGCAGGAUGCUCAGACGUUCAUUCAGAUGUGCGAGACGGUGCAGCCAGUGACCACGGUGCAUCCUUCCCGGAGGUUAACAGCCACUUUUCCCAUGUGACUGUGGGUGUGGAACAGGGCCAGACUGUGCUCACCGUAUCAUCUGUUUGGCCACAGGUUGGAGCUCUUCCCUCUCUAAGGAGUUUUCUACCAACUUCUGAUUUGAGGUUUAAAAUUCCAAACAUGUGAUUUCAAUGCCAAGAUUUGGGUCUGCCUUUUUUCUUGACAAGCAGUAAAAUACACAGUGCUCCAUUAUCUUCAUCUUCUGCGCUACUUGUAGGAAAUCUUAAUUUUUCUUUUUUUUUUUUCACGCUUUGUUUACUUUAAUUGCAAAGACAAUACUUAGUACCUUUGCUAGUGCUUCUUAACUUUUCAUAAUAUAAGCCAUUUUUCAUGAUUGUUUGAAUGUAAUUUUAAUGUAAUUUUGUGUAAUUUAAGACAAUAGAGCAUUUGUCAGAUGACAUUUUUAAGUGAAAUAGAAUCCUGUGUUUGUCAUGAUGAUUUCUUGUUGGCUCAAAGAUAAUAUAGCAAAAUAUUUUUGUUGUAGAAUGGUACAUCAAAGCAUUCUUGGAACUAUUCCCUUGGUAUUUAUUCCCUUAGGAAAAAGUAAUAUUUUGUUAUAAAUCUAGGGGGAAAUACUCAUUAAGUAUGACAACUAGACCUGUUCAAUUUCCAAAUAACUUAUUGCAGUAGUACAUUAAGUAAUGCAGUAAUGUCCCAUCUCUGCUAAUUACACAUACAGCUCAAGGUACUGGAGGGCAGCUGCAGGGGGCUCCUUGUAGUUCUGUGUCCUCACCUAUCUUUUCCCUUCCUGUGGUCCUCCAUGCUGGACACCCUUGGCCUGGAAUUUUACCCACUCCCUCCCCAUCCCCAUCAAUUCUUUGCCAAGCAAACAACCUAUUCAUUCUUCAGGUUCAGUAUAAUUGGCACUUUCUCAAACAAAAUAUCCUUUAUUUUAUCCUAAUAAUCAUUUAUAUUCCUUGAUAAAACUUCUCAUUUUGUAAUUAUGCCUUUAUCAGUUUAUUUUAUUCAUUGAGUCACUAAAAUUUAUUGAAUUUUUACUAUUUUGUGGUUCAUCUGAGCACUGAUAAGUAAGAUGGUGAAUAGACAGGCAGCAACCUACUCUCGUGGAGCUUACAUUCAAUGGGGACAGCAGAUAAUGAACCAACCAAUAACUCUUUCCAUGACAGUGGCCAUUUGAAGAUGAUGUUUGUUUCUAUUACGUUUCUAAUGACAUGAUUUUGGAAGCUUCUAAUGAUGUGUAAUGAAACUGGAUUUGUAGUUUAAUUCUAGAAGAGUCAACUUGUUCAAUCAAAACCUGCCUACAAAGGUGUAUGUAUAUACAUAUAUAUAUAUUUUUAAGGUGUAUAAAGAUUUUUAUUCCAUUUAAUAUGUUUGAACAGAAUCUAAAUCUGGUUCUGUUGCCCAAAUUACAGACUUCUAAAUGAAAUUAUCAACAACAUUGUUUG
Camelus dromedarius (Arabian camel) is the source of this 1806-nucleotide long non-coding RNA. RefSeq lists it as uncharacterized. The record is from RefSeq and is a predicted model, not a curated record. Lineage: Eukaryota; Metazoa; Chordata; Mammalia; Artiodactyla; Camelidae. The transcript has 3 exons.